AAAGAAAUCGUUAAGGGCGUAUGGCGGAUGCCUAGGCUUUCAGAGGCGACGAAGGACGUGGUAAGCUGCGAAAAGCUACGGGGAUUGGCACACACGAAUUGAUCCGUAGAUAUCCGAAUGGGGCAACCCAAUACAUUGAAGAUGUAUUACUGCGCAAGCAGAGCAAACCCGGAGAACUGAAACAUCUAAGUACCCGGAGGAAAAGAAAUCGAAGAGAUUCCGUAAGUAGUGGCGAGCGAAAGCGGAUUAGCCCAAAAGUUUAUAUAUGUUUAAUAGAACACUUUGGAAAGAGUGGCCAUAGAGGGUGAUAGCCCCGUACAUGAAAGGCAUAUUUAGAUGAUACAAGAGUAGGGCGGGACACGUGAAAUCCUGUCUGAAUAUGGGGGGACCAUCCUCCAAGGCUAAAUACUCCUGAAAGACCGAUAGUGAACAAGUACUGUGAAGGAAAGGUGAAAAGCACUUCGAAUAGAAGGGUGAAAGAGAACCUGAAACCGUACGCCUACAAGCGGUCGGAGCAGCUUAUUGCUGUGACGGCGUGCCUUUUGCAUAAUGAGCCUACGAGUUAAUUUUACUAGCGAGGUUAAGUAAUUAAGUUACGGAGCCGAAGCGAAAGCGAGUCUGAAUAGGGCGAAUAGUUAGUAGGAUUAGACGCGAAACCUUGUGAUCUACCCAUGGGCAGGUUGAAGCUUUGGUAACACAAAGUGGAGGACCGAACCGGUUGACGUUGAAAAGUCUUCGGAUGACCUGUGGGUAGGGGUGAAAGGCCAAUCAAACUGGGAGAUAGCUCGUACUCUCCGAAAUGCAUUUAGGUGCAGCGUUGAUGUUAAGUUUAUUAGAGGUAGAGCUACUGAUUGGAUGCGGGGGUUUCACCGCCUACCAAUUCCUGACAAACUCCGAAUGCUAAUAAAUGUUCAUCAGCAGUGAGGGCAUGGGUGCUAAGGUCCAUGUCCGAGAGGGAAAGAACCCGGACCAACAGCUAAGGUCCCUAAAUAUAUGCUAAGUUGAAAUAACGCGGUUGGACUGCAUUGACAGCUAGGAUGUUGGCUUGGAAGCAGCCAUUCAUUUAAAGAGUGCGUAACAGCUCACUAGUCGAGCGGUCCGGCAUGGAUAAUAAUCGGGCAUAAGCAUAUUACCGAAGCUAUGGGAUGUAUUA
RNAcentral lists this ribosomal RNA (1153 nucleotides) under Riemerella anatipestifer. Its description in RNAcentral is "partial 23S ribosomal RNA". It matches the Rfam family "Bacterial large subunit ribosomal RNA", at positions 1 to 1214 of the family's 2925-position model. Lineage: Bacteria; Pseudomonadati; Bacteroidota; Flavobacteriia; Flavobacteriales; Weeksellaceae. The record is from RNAcentral.